Molecule: small nuclear RNA, 85 nt
Organism: Heterocephalus glaber (naked mole-rat)
Lineage: Eukaryota; Metazoa; Chordata; Mammalia; Rodentia; Bathyergidae
Gene: U4
Rfam family: U4 spliceosomal RNA
About the family: U4 small nuclear RNA (U4 snRNA) is a component of the major U2-dependent spliceosome. The structure of U4 snRNA from yeast and human has been reported.
Source: Ensembl
AACUUUGCGCAAUGGCAGUAUUGUAGCCAAUGAGGUUCAUCUGAGGUGCAAUUAUUGUUAAUUAAAAAGUUUUAAUUUAAUCCCU